RNAcentral lists this small nuclear RNA (100 nucleotides) under Nannospalax galili (Upper Galilee mountains blind mole rat). The record is from RNAcentral. Lineage: Eukaryota; Metazoa; Chordata; Mammalia; Rodentia; Spalacidae.
CUUUUCUUUGGCAACACAUACAUUGAAAUUGGAAUGAGGGAGAUUAGCAUGUCCCCUGCUGAAGGAUGACACACAAAUUCAUGAAGCAUUCUUACUUAAA